RNAcentral lists this ribosomal RNA (443 nucleotides) under uncultured bacterium. RNAcentral's name for it is "partial 16S ribosomal RNA". It matches the Rfam family "Bacterial small subunit ribosomal RNA", at positions 338 to 795 of the family's 1533-position model. The record is from RNAcentral.
CCUACGGGGGGCAGCAGUGGGGAAUAUUGGGCAAUGGGCGCAAGCCUGACCCAGCAACGCCGCGUGAAGGAAGAAGGCUUUCGGGUUGUAAACUUCUUUUCGCAGGGACGAAGCAAGUGACGGUACUUGAGGAAUAAGCCACGGCUAACUACGUGCCAGCAGCCGCGGUAAUACGUAGGGGGGCAGCGUUAUCUGGAUGUACUGGGUGUAAAGGGCGUGUAGGCGGGACUGCAAGUCAGAUGUGAAAACCACGGGCUCAACCUGUGGCCUGCAUUUGAAACUGUGGUUCUUGAGUACUGGAGAGGCAGACGGAAGUCCUGGUGUAGCGGUGAAAUGCGUAGAUAUUAGGAGGAACACCAGUGGCGAAGGCGGUCUGCUGGACAGCAACUGACGCUGAGGCGCGAAAGCGUGGGGAGCAAACAGGAUUAGAUACCCUUGUAGUC